RNAcentral lists this ribosomal RNA (427 nucleotides) under uncultured bacterium. RNAcentral's name for it is "partial 16S ribosomal RNA". It matches the Rfam family "Bacterial small subunit ribosomal RNA", at positions 355 to 774 of the family's 1533-position model. The record is from RNAcentral.
UGGGGCAUAUUGCACAAUGGGCGCAAGCCUGAUGCAGCCAUGCCGCGUGUAUGAAGAAGGCCUUCGGGUUGUAAAGUACUUUCAGCGGGGAGGAAGGGAGUAAAGUUAAUACCUUUGCUCAUUGACGUUACCCGCAGAAGAAGCACCGGCUAACUCCGUGCCAGCAGCCGCGGUAAUACGGAGGGUGCAAGCGUUAAUCGGAAUUACUGGGCGUAAAGCGCACGCAGGCGGUUUGUUAAGUCAGAUGUGAAAUCCCCGGGCUCAACCUGGGAACUGCAUCUGAUACUGGCAAGCUUGAGUCUCGUAGAGGGGGGUAGAAUUCCAGGUGUAGCGGUGAAAUGCGUAGAGAUCUGGAGGAAUACCGGUGGCGAAGGCGGCCCCCUGGACGAAGACUGACGCUCAGGUGCGAAAGCGUGGGGAGCAAACA